GCAUAUCAAUAAGCGGAGGAAAAGAAACUAACAAGGAUUCCCUUAGUAACGGCGAGUGAAGAGGGAAGAGCUCAAAUUUUAAAUCUAUCAUGUUGUACAUGAUCGAGUUGUAAUUUGAAGAAGCGUUUUCUCGUACUUUAUGAUCAGUAUAAGUUCUCUUGGAACAGGACAUCAUAGAGGGUGAUAAUCCCGUCUGUUACUGAUUGUGAGGUUCGUUUAUGAUACGCUUUCAAAGAGUCGAGUUGUUUGGGAUUGCAGCUCCAAAUGGGUGGUAAACAUCACCUAAGGCUAAAUAUUUGCGAGAGACCGAUAGCGAACAAGUACCGUGAGGGAAAGAUGAAAAGAACUUUGAAAAGAGAGUUAAAAAGUAUGUGAAAUUGUUGAAAGGGAAACGAUUGAAGUCAGUCGUGCAGUCAUCAAUUCAGCGGUUAACAUUUUAUGUUUCCGUGUAAUUUGGUGUCUGUUGGUUAGCAUCAAUUUUGAUUGUUAUAAAAAGGUUAAGGGGAUGUGGCUCCUUCGGGAGUGUUAUAACCCUUAGCGUAAUGUGACGAUUAGGAUUGAGGAUUGCAACGAAUACCUUUUAGGGCAGUUUCACCUGGCCUCUCGUGGAAUUAUAGAUAGUUAAGAGCAUGCUCUUACUGUCUAUGAUUCUACGAAAAGGUUGGAGUGUAAAANUAANNNNUUAAGGAUGUUGACGUA
RNAcentral lists this ribosomal RNA (699 nucleotides) under uncultured Glomerales. Its description in RNAcentral is "LSU rRNA". It matches the Rfam family "Eukaryotic large subunit ribosomal RNA", at positions 38 to 633 of the family's 3401-position model. The record is from RNAcentral. Lineage: Eukaryota; Fungi; Glomeromycota; Glomeromycetes; Glomerales; Glomeraceae.